RNAcentral lists this long non-coding RNA (19936 nucleotides) under Triticum aestivum (bread wheat). RNAcentral's name for it is "long non-coding RNA (TAES_LNC019882)". The record is from RNAcentral. Lineage: Eukaryota; Viridiplantae; Streptophyta; Magnoliopsida; Poales; Poaceae.
CACGCGCGAUGUGGUGCAACCACGGGAACAACCUCAGAUCGGUGGCGGAGACCACGUGCCGCGAUGCUACAUCCCGAAGGGGCGACGCAGCGGCGGCGCAGAUCGAUGCAGCCACAAGGAGAACCACGGGGCGGCGGCGCUGCGGCCCGAUGGGGCGACGCAGCGGCAACCCAUUGCUCGAUCAGUGGAGGGGCGCGCUGAACUCGGGGACAGGGCGGUGACGGCCGGCGUAGGUCGACCAGCGGGCCGAUGCACGGACAACGGCCGGGAGGGGGCCCCUGUCGCGCGAGGCUACCUGGUCGGUGAAGAGGCCGGUAGAUGGCGCUGGUGUCGGAGUAGAGGCACGGUGGUGGACGAUGGCGGCAGGCGACGCAAACCGAUCAAGCAUAGAUCGGAAACCAAAAAGAAAAACGCCCGGCGAAAGAGCGAAGAAAAAAAACGGAGCAAGGGCUCGGGAAAAAGACUCUCUAGGGCAGCCGGUCAACACGACCGGCGGACGAACCCUAGGUACGGGUGGUGCGGCCCCCGACGGCGGUCAUGGAGGCCGCCCCGGGGGCGGCACUCGGGUGCAGAAGCGGCGGCGGCUAGGGUUUAGGAUCGAGGUAAGGCUGAUACCAUGUUAGAAGGGAGAGAGAGGAUUGGUGGAAUAGUUGUUGUAUUGCUUGAGCCUCGUGGGCAUAUAUAUAGGAGUACAUAGUCAACUUGGAGUACAAGACAAGCCGGGACAUAUCCUAGUCUAUCUCAUAUUUCCUAAAUAAACAUAAUACUCAACAGAUUCUUCUGCUCCAACAUACACAAUCAACUACCCGCAAAAAAAAACAUACACAAUCAACAGCGGCAACCAUCGGGCUAAAAGAAAGGCACAAUCGCAAUGACAUACUUGCAGUUGCAGCGGAGACAGGACUUGUAGCGAAAAUAAUGCCAUCAUACUUGCAGCGGAGGUACGACUUGUAGCGAAAAUAAUGCCAUCUUUCAGAAUGGCUCGUGUAAAAACAGAAGAUAACCUCAGCGUACUUCAUGAGAAGGCGAAGCCAGUCAGUUAUGUUAGCACACCAGCAAACCCAGAGCAGAUUGCUUUACAUACCAAAGUUUCAAGCGAGAUAGAAAGUGUGAAAUUCAGUGCUUAUCAUUUCAUAAAACAGGAAAUUUCUAUCUUUACAAAUUACAUCCCUCCGUUCCUCAUGUUAGCAUCAUGUCGGGAUUAUUAGUUUAUAAUUAUUUUGUGCAUCACAAUCUUCAAAUUCAAAAGGAGAAAUAUAGCACAUACACAUCACAACUCCUCUGUUUCUCCGCCUCAAAGCAGCAGCACAAAACAGGCUUCAUUAAUCUCAAUUUGCGAGUGAAAUUAGUUCAAGCAUAUAAACUCAACCUGAAUUAUCAAGGAUGCAAGCAAAUGGAUCAAACAACAACGAAAGGGAUAGAUCGUACCACAAAAGGGCUUGACUUCUUGCUACUGUUGGUGGUGGCCACGGCAGGAUCGGAGCGAGUGGAGUAAGACGAAAUCACUAGUUGAGGAGUACUCGUUGCAAAGAUCACCCCAACCUCUCCAGAUUGCAACAAGUGGCGCGCUGCAUGUGCAUCACUUGUCGCAACCUGGAAGUUUUCCCUUUUUUCAUAGAUCCGUUUAUUCAAAAUGUUUUAUCACUUAAACCGUGUGUCCAAAUCUCGAACCGCUUUCAUCGUUGGAUUCCUCGCGUUGAGAUCUUCAAAACUAGAUCCUAUGUUGAUAGGUUUUGACAAACUUUUUUUUUCACGAAAAACCGAACCGGGAGCACGGGUUUUUUCCCUUUCCGAAAAAGGUAUACCCGUGCCUCUCACGAAAUCACAACCGUGCCUCUCGCGGAAGCAAAACCGUGACACUCGCGGAAGGAAAAAAAAGAAAACACGUUUUUUUCGUCUCCAAGAAGGCACGGCCGUGACUCUCACGAAAGCACAACCGUCCCUCUUGCGGAAGAUAAACCGUGACUCUCUCGAAAGAAAAAAAACAGAAAACGCGUUUUUUUCGUUUCCGAGAGGCACGGCCGUGACUCGCGAAAAGCACAACCGUGUCUGUCGCGGAAGCAAAACCGUGACUCUCACGAAAAGAAAAAAAACAUAAAAUACGUUUUUUUUCAUUUCCGAGAGGCUCAACCGUGACUCUCGCGAAAAGAAAAAAAAAUAAAACGUGUUUUUUUGUGCAAAAACAAUUGAAUUUUUUUAUUGAAAAGCUAAGGAAGACCGGUGGAAAACCAAAACGUUGAAAAAAACUGAAAAAACCGUUUAAAAAGCCGAAAACGCGUGCGAAAAAAAUAAAAUUCGGAGGGAGCGCGACACGUGGCAAAUGGCUGAGAGCGCGCCAAGUGACGCUGAUCGUUGCGAGCCUCCCAAAGGAGCGCUAGUUGCUCUCGGGGGAAUAACAUGACGACGCUGGGAAGAAGUGGAUGGUUGGCUCGGCUGUAGGGCCAAGCCGUCCUCCUCCAUGGCCGCCUAGCCAGAUUCAGCUCUCGACAUCUCUCUCUCCGCACUUAGAUGGAGGCGAGGACGAAGCCCUAGCAAAAAUUAUAUCACCGAAAAGAUUCAAGUUUGACCGUAAAUUUAACCAACGAGACAGCUUGCGGCGGGAUAUCGAUCUCGUUGGUUAAAUUUACGGUCAAAUUUGAAUCUCGAAAAUACGGACGCACUAAUAGGCGGCCAUGUCAACCUAUUUGGGCCGGUCAACCCGCAACCGUAGGAUUUCGUUGAUUCUAGUUCGAUGCACUUCGUCUUUAUCAGAACACACGCGUACGGAAAUAUUCCCCUGCAUCUCAUCGCUCUCUUCCGACUGGCCGGCCGCAGUUGCUCUCUGGUCGCUGCCCUCACGGGUCCUCCUCGUUGCCAGUCGUCACCCUCGCCGGCCAUCCUCGUUGCCGAUUGAAGCAUCAAAUGGCGCGACGGCGUCGCUCACAGCCAAUAGCAGUUGUAGCAAAAAUCUUUGUCGAUUCCAGCAAAACAAAAACAUGGUGGAAGCAAAAAUAUGGGUCACCAGUUCCAGCAAAAAACACAAUACGCGGAAGCAAAAUAAAAUGAUACAUCGGUUCCAGCAAAAACACAACACGGUGGAAGCAAAAUGAGACGCCGGUUCCAGCAAAAAAAGACGGUGGUAGCAAAAGAAUUGUCUGAUUCCAGCAAAAUCUGAAGACGGUAGUAGCAAAAAUUGGGGAUGAUUGCAACAAAAAAACAAACUGGUUCCAUCUAUGUGUGUCGCAAUUGCAGCACCGCCGUCCGGACGUGGUCACCACGUCGGGUCGUGGUCACCACUGCCAUGGGAUGGCCCCAGCUGGUAGCAGCUUCGCCUUGGAUGGUUGCAACUAGUCGUACAUAGGUUGCAACCAUCCCAUGGCGCCGCCAUGGCUCGGAUGCAAAACCGAUGCAGCUCCGUGCACCACCGGGUUGCAGCCCAUCGCGCACACCGUCGUUGCCGUCGUAGCAAAAUGGUUGGCCGGCUGCAGCUUUUUGUGUUGCCGGUUGUAGCCCAUCGCGGUAGCUCUGUCGGCACCGUAGCAAAACAGUUUGCCAGUUGCAGCCUUUUAAUUUGCCGGUUCCAGCUGCUCGCGCAGCCAAUAGCAGCACCGGAGCUCGCCGGUUCCGGCAGGCGGUGGGUGGUUGCAGCAAAGAACACUGGCGAGGGGUGGACUGCAGCGUGGGCUUGCAGCAUCACUGGUGUGCCCGACCUUGCUUUACGCUCAUGGAAGAAAAGAGUGAGAGGUAGAAGAAGAAAUUGGGGACCAAGGGAUAGACAGAAAAAAGAAAGAUGUAGACGAGAGACGGAGAAAGGAUAAGAGACGUGUGGAUGUGGUCUCUUCUGGUGGAGAAAACGAGAAGCGGUGCGCUUGGGGCCCACAACUACAUGGUGCGUGGCGUGUGACUGGCUGGAGUUUCGGCCGGCGCACCGUCUCCGAACGUUUUCUUGUGAAAAGGAGUGAGUAAAAGAAAACUAGGAUGACCGAGCACACAAAUCGUGCAAAAUACAGACUUCCAAGACAAAAAGGAGAGAAAGAGAUAAUAAAGGGAGAAGAAAUAAGAGGGCAGGACCGUCUUUUCCGUCCCCCUUCUUCCUUGCGAGCACAGGGUUUUCUUCCGCCGCUCCCCCCAAUCCAUCCAUCGAUUCCCAUCCGCCGCCGCCGCCGUCUUCCAGCCCCCACCCCCACCUCCAGUCUAGACCCCGCGCGCCGCGCCGAUGGGGCGCAAGAAAAACGUCGCCAUCGACGACGACGAGUACUCCCUGCCGCAGGACGACGAGGCCGCCCCCCCGCCGCCCCCCCGCCGCCCCCCGCCGCCGCCGCGGAGAAGGAGAAGCCGCCGCCCAAGAAGGGCGGCAAGAAGGGCGGCAAGUCCGCCGCGCACGACGACGACGACGACUACGAGCCCGCCCCGCCUCCCCCGCCGGCGGGCGAGGAGGACGACGAGCCGAUCAACGUCGUCUUCACCGGCAAGAAGAAGAAGAAGAAGGGUGGCGCGGGCGGGGGCGGGAUGAGCGCCUUCGACGCCCUCGCGGCCGCCGAGGACCAGGAUGAGGACGAGGCCCCUGCCUCCACCACCGCAUCCGAGCUCGAGGCCGGUAGGUCUGAGGCCAGCGGCGAUCUCGACGACGUCGACCUCGAUUUCGACUUCAGCAAGUCCAAGAAGAAAAAGAAGAAGGGCAAGGGAGCUCGCCUGUCCGCCGAGGAGGACGAGGAGGCGGCUGCUGCUGCUGCGGCGGCGCCCCCAGCUGCUGCCGAGGAAGAGGAGGAGCAGGAGGCUGCGGCCAUGGCUGCCAAGAAGCCACAGAAGAAGAAGAAAAAGAAGGGUGGGUUUACUGUGGACGAUGAGGACAUCGACAAGCUCCUGGCCGAGAUGGAGGAUCCUCCCCAACCAGCAAAGGAGGCUGAGCCGGAGGAGGCUAAAGGUGGGGAUUCUCUGGCUGCCCCAGAUGCCGAUGAUGCCGGCGGAAAGAAAUCGAAGAAGAAGAAAAAGAAGGGAGGGUUUACUGUCGACGAUGAGGACAUUGACAAGCUCCUUGCAGAGAUUGAGGACCGGCCUGCUGCCGCUGAGGAGCCUGAGCCCAAGUCAGCCAAGGCAGAGGAUACUGUGGCUGCUGCUCCUGCUGCGACCAGUGUGGAUGAUGCUGAAGGGAAGAAAUCAAAGAAGAAAAAGAAGAAGAGCGGAAGGACAGCACAGGAAGAGGAGGAUCUGGACAAGCUUCUUGCUGAGCUCGGUGAAGGACCGGCACCGGCACCGGAGAAGGAGAAACCAUCCCAGGCAGCGCCUUCCGCUCCAGCAGUGAAGGAGGACGCUGAAACUGCGGAGGAUGGUAAUGCAGAGCAGAAGGCCGGGGAAGGAGAGGUAGAGUCCGCUGCAGCCAAGAAGAAAAAGAAGAAGAAAGAAAAAGAGAAGGAGAAGAAGGCAGCAGCAAAGGGGACAGAGGCUAAGAAGGAGGAGGAAAAGGAGCCAGAGGCGCCUAAAGGCAAGGUUGACAUGAAGAAGCUCCCAAAGCAUGUCCGGGAGAUGCAGGAGGCUCUUUUGAAGAGGCAGGAAGCCGAGGAGCGGAGGAAGAAAGAGGAGGAAGAACGUUUGAGGAAGGAGGAAGAGGAGCGUUUGAGGAAAGAGGAGGAGGAGAAGAAGGCAGAGGAAGCAAAGAGGAGGAAGAAGGAGAGGGAAAAGGAGAAGCUGCUCAAGAAGAAGCAGGAAGGUAAGCUUUUAACAGGGAAGCAGAAGGAGGAGGCCAAGCGGUUAGAAGCCAUGAGGAGACAAUUCCUUGGUGAGAGUGAAGUUCCAGUAGCUGAUGGGGCUGCCCCUGAGAUUAAGAAGAGGCCAAAGUAUGAUAGCAAGAAGAAAAAAGUUCAAACAAAGGCUUCAGAGGCCCAGAAGGUAGCUGAAGAACAACAGCAAGAGGUAAAUGAAGCCAACAUUGACGAGGAAGAGUAUGUCAUAGUGGACCAGGAAUCUCAGUCUCAGGUGGCAGAAUCUGAGACAAAAACAGAACCCGACCAAGAGGUGGAAGAGGCAAAACAAGAAGAGGAGGAAGAUGAAGAUUACUGGGAUGCAAAGAGCUGGGAUGAUAUCGAUGUGGGUUUGUCGAAGACAAGUGCUUUCGAGGAGGAAGAGGAGAAGGAGGACAAGCCUGUUGCCACGAAGCAGGAAAUUUCUAAACCGCAACCUGUAGUGCCUGCUGUAAAAAAUGUUGCUCCGCCUGUUGACAACUCUAAAAAGAGUGAAACUGAAAAUGUGCGUGCCAACAAUGGAGUUGCUAAAAAGAAAGGGAAGAAAGGAUCUUCUAAAGAUGAUGAUGCUGACAAUGCUAGCGACCUCCGUUCACCAAUCUGUUGCAUCCUUGGUCAUGUUGAUACUGGAAAGACAAAGCUGCUGGACUGUAUUAGACGAACUAAUGUACAAGAAGGAGAAGCUGGCGGUAUUACUCAACAGAUUGGAGCUACAUACUUCCCAACUGAGAAUAUUAGAGAGAGAACAAGGGAAUUGAAGGCUGAUGCUACUCUCAAGGUUCCAGGCCUGCUUGUUAUUGAUACUCCUGGCCAUGAGUCCUUCAGUAAUCUGCGUUCUAGAGGUUCAAGUUUGUGCGACAUUGCUAUUUUGGUUGUCGACAUUAUGCAUGGGCUUGAACCCCAGACAAUCGAAUCCCUGAAUCUCUUGAAAAGUCGAGAUGCAGUAUUUAUCGUUGCUUUGAACAAGGUACUAUUCUUGGAUUUUUGUCCCUUUGACUUUCGGCUUCCUUACUGUUCUGCUAUUUACUUGUUUGUUUCUUAUCACUGUAUGAAGGUUGAUCGUCUUUAUGGUUGGAAGACCUGCCCCAAUGCUCCUAUCGGGAAAGCCUUGAGACAACAAAAUGAUGAUGUCAAGUUGGAGUUCAAUACGAGGCUUACUGAUGUAUGUGGACAUUAUUGUUUCCUCCUUGUUUUAUAGUAUUAUGGAAAGAACUACUAGUUGGUGUUGUUCUAAUCACAUGUAUGUGCUUUGUCCAACAGAUUGUGACACAAUUCAAGAUGCAAGGUGUGAAUACUGCUUUGUACUACAAGAACAAAGAGAUGGAAGAUACAUUUAACAUUGUGCCUACCAGUGCAGUAAGGCAUGGUCAACAAUUAAUCUUAUUGGUUCAUUCAUUCAGAUAUCUGGCAGCAAGUACGAUAUUACUAGCAUCUUUUCCUUAACACAUAAUGCACUUCUCCCUGCAGUGGUGAAGGCAUUCCUGAUCUGCUUCUACUAUUGGUGCAAUGGGCACAAAAGACGAUGGAAGAAAAGCUUACUUUUGUUGAUGAAGUCCAGGUACCGUGCAUAUAUGAGUUACUACUCAUCACUGUAGAAGAAUGCACUUGUAUGAUCUUAUCUUAUUCUGUUUCAGUGUACCGUGCAUAAAUAUACUUGUCAUUGUAGAAGAAUGCAGUCUUAUGAUCUUAUCUUAUUGUGUGUCAGUGUACUGUCCUGGAAGUCAAGGUCAUCGAAGGUCAUGGCACUACAGUUGAUGUUGUGCUGGUCAAUGGUAUGCUCCAUGAAGGAGAUCAAAUAGUCGUGUGUGGCAUGCAGGUAAGAAUCAUGUUGUAUAAUUGCAAUUGCUGCAGCAAAUACAUCACCAGCACAUGUAAGACUCAUUAUGUUCUUGUUAUAUAUCUAUUUAGGGACCCAUUGUGACAACCAUCAGAGCUUUGUUAACACCACACCCGAUGAAGGAGCUUCGAGUUAAGGUGUGUGGCUCAUUAUACUACACCUUAGUUUAAUUUCUUAUUUUAGAUCCAAUAUAUUGCUGUUCAACUAGGCUGUCACCUUUAAGAUUCAUUCUCUUUCGGUGCUUUGAUGACUGGGGACCUAUUGAUAGCUUUGAUCAAAACAUUUACAUACUGGGAGGUUUAUAUUAUGCACAUUUUUUAUGACUGGGAACCUAUUGAUAGCUUUGAUCAUAAGAUUUAUGUCAUCAUGUCAUUUUUGUGCCUACCUGGAAAUAGUAAAUUAAUGUCAUGCUAACUCUACCAAGAAAGCUCAAUGGCAUGUUUGAUUUGCAGCCAUACUUUGCCAAAUGUUAGGUAGACACGUGUACCGAGUGUUUGGAUACAUUCACAGGUGGCAUGCCACACUUUCUUUGUCAGUCACCCCACUUGUCAUGGACUCAGUUGCCAGCCAACUUUUGCCACAAGUGUGUUGACCAAUUUGUUCAUCUUAGACACCACCAUGCUUACGCCUUGCCAAGACACUUAAAAUGCUUGCAUAUUAUGAUUCAUUGCUUUCUUUUGCACUAAGAUGAUUUGAGCCUUUGGUUCACCUUUUAAGUUUGAGUUGACUAAUUCAUCGAAACACAAAAUCUCAGGGCACCUACCUUCACCAUAAGAAGAUCAGAGCUGCACAAGGAAUUAAAAUAUCAGCUCAGGUGGGUUCAUUAAUUUUUUGGCACUUCAGAGUGUAAAUAUCAGCACACUUCUGAAAAAUAACAAGUGUUCUCUGUCAGGGUCUCGAACAUGCAAUUGCUGGGACUGCUCUAUAUGCUGUACGACCUGAUGCAGAUAUAGAGGACCUGAAGGAUGCUGUAAUGGAAGAGAUGUCAAGGGUUAGGAACCGGAUUGAUAAGAGUGGCGAGGGUGUCUAUGUGCAAGCAUCUACGCUUGGGUCAUUGGAAGCUCUGACUGAGUUCUUGAAGAGCCCUGCUGUGAAUAUCCCCUUCUGUGAUUUCAGCAUAGGCCCAGUGCACAAGAAAGAUGUUAUGAAGGCCAGCGUUAUGCUUGAGAGGAAGAAGGAAUAUGCAACUAUCUUGGCGUUUGAUGUCAAAGUGAUGCCUGAUGCCCGUGAUCUUGCAGAAGAGUCUGGUGUGAAGAUCUUCGUGGCAGAUAUAAUAUACCACCUUUUUGACCAAUUUACAGCGUACAUUAAGAACAUAAGGGAAGAGAAGAAGAAGGACAGCGCCGAAGAAGCUGUUUUCCCCUGUGUUCUUAAGAUCAUGCCGAACUGUGUCUUCAACAAGAAGGAUCCAAUCGUUUUGGGUGUCGAUAUCCUCGAAGGAAUAGCAAAGGUAUUUUGUCUGAUCAGUGAAAUUUUAUAUUUUCUCAACCCUUAUUUUACUGGAUUUUUUAGCUGAGCAGUUAUCUUUCUAGAAUACCCAGUAGUUUGUAACUGGCCUAGAUUAACAAAUGCCAGUAGGCUCAUCAUCUAGAAACUGGAAACUGUCAUAUGUGUCCAUAGAUAUGAAUGUUAUGUUAUGUUUCUCAUACAUCAUGGAGUGGUUGGUCUUUCACGUCUUUCUCAAGCUAUUUUUCUAGAACAUUCAGUAGUGAAGAACCAACUGCCCAAUUAAACAAAUCCUCAUAGUCUAGAAAGUGGGACCUGUCAUAUGUAGAAUUUGAUGUCCGAAACACUUGAAUAUUAUCAUGGAGUGGUCUUUCUCAAGAUAUGUAUUCGAUUCCUUGUUUUCCCUUGUCAUGUAGGUGGGAACGCCUCUGUGCAUACCCUCGAAAGAAUUUAUUGAUAUUGGGAAGAUUGCCUCCAUUGAAAUUAAUCACAAGCAAGUUGAUACAGCCACAAAAGGGCAAAAGGUGGCUAUAAAGGUUUGUGUUAUCCUGUGUUACUCUGUUUCUUUUUCUUCUUGUUAGAUUUAUCAGGUUCUGUCUGACAUAUGUUGUUGUUUCCUGGGUGGUGAGCAGAUCAUUGGGAGCAACUCUGAUGAGCAGCAGAAGAGCUUUGGCAGGCACUUUGAGAUGGAAGACGAGCUCGUCAGCCACAUCACAAGGCGGUCCAUCGACCUUCUCAAAGAAAACUACAGGGCAAGUCUUUCUUGUUUGUUUCCAUGUGCAUUGAUUGGUUCACCCCGUUGUCUGCCCAUAUACUCUGGUGGUUCUUCCAGGCCACCACCACCACCAGUUAGUGAUUUUUUGUUGACUGUUGUUGACUGCAGGAUGACUUGACGAUGGACGACUGGAAACUUGUGAUGAAGCUGAAGAAGAUACUGAGUAUCCCAUGAGUUUGUUGACAAAAAAAGCCGGCGCGACCCUCUGGUUGCUUGCCCAUAGAGGAGGGUGUUUCAAUUUUGAUGAUGAUGAUACGGUUGUAAUUUGGUGGGAGUGCGCUCUCGGUUGCUUUUCUUUCUUUUCAUGCAAUCGUUUUGUUCCUGUUUUUGUUGCACUGUUUAACCUGAAGCUUGUUAACGAUUGGCUUUGGAGCAAAAGUAACAGGUGUGCUGAGCUUGGGCAGUAGACUAGGCUUUAUUUUUUUGGGGGCGGAUAGUUGUCGGUUUCAUGUCCUCUUUGCCUAGUUAUUGCAUUUUCCUAAGAAAAAGCCAGUUAUUACUAUUUUUGUUGUUGGUGAAUUUCACCUGAUACAGUUAUACUCUAAUUGAAUCCAGCUAUUUGGAAUAAAGUAAGAAGGUAAACUGGCGCAAAAGGAGAAAUCUGUCAAACUGAAGAAAAGAAACAAUAAACUGCUUUGAUUGCUGGCAGCCCAUUUGCUUGAUUUAGCAGCGAGGACCUAGGAAUGGUGAGAAACGAUUGACUUGAAGGAAGGGAGAUAUUUCCUCUCUCUGGAAUUACUUGACGAACGUAAGUAAUUCCAGAUGGAGAAAGUAUAUUUCAUUUCAAAAAAAGAGUCCUCACUUUAUAUAGAGAUCACCCUGCACCAAAAAUGCCAUAUCCACUCCAGUGUUGUUAAACAUGAUAGCCUAAGGUGCUACUCCGUGAACAUUUAUACUUUCUUUGAUUUAUAUUACUUGUCUUGAAUAUAGGUGUGUCUACAUAUAUUUGUAUCUAACAAAUCUAAAAAGUAAUAUGAGGGAGUACAACUUAUUCCUACUCUGACAAUUGAUUUUUAUCCCAACCGCUCCAUACUACCAUAGGGGUUGUUUUGGUUAUUCUUAUUUGAGAAAAGUUCACUCACGGUCCUUGAACUUGAGCCGGUGCUCACCUUGGUACCCUAUCAAUUUAAUAUACCCGAAAUAUGGUCCCUUAAUUUGUCAUGGGGUUCACAUGCAAUCCAAAAUACAAUUUUCUGGCACUGGUCAACUGAAUCUGGACACAUUGUAAAAAAAACUAUAGUACACAUGCAGUCGUUCCUAUCCGGUUUCUUCGGCCAUAAGAGCAUCUCCAACGGAUGUGCUAGAUAAGCCGCGCGCGGGAAAAAACGGCUAUAUAGUGCGCGCGUGAUCGAAAGUAGCGCUCCAAUAGCCGCACUAUAAUCCGGCGCGCGGUAAACAAGGUUCAGCGCGCUGAGUAUUUGAUGGGCCCGCUCGCGCGCGCUGGACAAGAUAAUCAUGCGCGCGAAUCUCACCAACCACCAGAUCUGAAACCUCUAGGAGCUAGCGCCUCCGCCCGUGCUUUUCCCCAUUCGCUCUGGCAGCGCUUCCCCCGCCUAUCCUCAGCACGCGAUGUUGUAUGUUUGUUGUAUUGUUUACUAUUUAUUGUAUUGUUCAUUGACUAUUUAUUGUAUUGAAGAUAAACUAUUUGUUUGAGUUGUAAUAAUAAUCAAACUAUUUAUUGUUGAUUUUUUUGUGUGUUUAGUCUUCUUGGUUCUACAUUGAGUGGGAAAUAUUGUUUGUGUUGGGCGCAUGUUGUAGCACCUGUGCUGGAGCACUACUUGCGGCGUGCAAUAUAUAACGUUUCUGAUAAAGCAAAACAUCAGUGCAGCACACUAAAACGCUAUUUCGACACAAAAAAAAUUUAGCACCCCGCGCUACUGCGGUCUGUUGGAGAUGCUGUAAGAGCAUCUCCAACAGCGGUGGUAAAAAACGCGCGCGCGGGGAAACAUGGGUCUUAGCAUGCGCAGAGCGGUUUCGCGCGCUCCAGCGGGCGCGGGAGAUUCUGGCGCGCGCGAAAAAGCGACCCGGCGCGCGGCCUCCUGCGCGCUUUAUAAAUCCAGCGCCCCUCCACGCGCCCUCUCAUCGCUCUGUGUGGGGCCUUAAAAAGGAUAUUCGCGGAACAUGCUCUUUUACGGCUCGUCUUUGCGGGGUCUGCUCGAGCGCUGCCCCCGCCGGCCCGCAAACCCGAAAUUUGCAUUUCAGUUUCACACAUGAAAAUACAUUUAUUUACUUUUUUAAUUUUUUUCAACGGCAUUGGAUACAUAGUAAUUCAUCGAAUCUUUACUAGAAUAGUAAGACUAAAGAAAACAAGAACCACAAUUAUGCAUUUUAGAAGAUAUCCAACUUUCAUAAUUGCUCCCACUAGUUGGAGCAAUAUCUUCUUCAUGCAUUCGUUGUUGAUCUGCGGAUUCUUGAUCUUGCAUUCUUCAUUCUUCUUCUUUGAUUCUAAAGAAGUAGACGUUGCUUCUCCUCUACUUUCUUCUCUAAUUGCACAUGCAGCCGCAUCAUUAGCCUCAAUUCUACUAAGGAGUGCACAAACAUCUAUCAAGUUUUUUAUCAAUAAAUUAAUGUAUUCUUCUUCCCAAAACCAAAAUGAGUAUCCAUCUUCCUACACACAUGACGAUGUUUAAAAUGAGCUGUUGCAAUUGAACCGAAGAAUACAAUGACAAAGCCGAAUGGAAACAACACAUACCCUGUCGUUUUCGAAUUUCAAGAACACCCAUCCGGGGUGCUUCGGCGUGCCAGAAGUUAGUCGCACCACUGUCCGCGUGCAAUCGUCGCAUUGUAUUAGCAGCAUCGGCGAGCCGCUGCGCGAGCACCGAGCCCAGUGGACGGCCGGCCGAAUCCUUGCCGGCAAACCGAUGGCGGCGAUGGCUAUAGGACGAACCCGUAUAUACCUGCAUGCGGCGUUGGGGCUUUCCGGGGUUGUGCGGGCUGCUCCCCGACCAAUCCAUGGCUUGGCGCAGCCACCGAUGACCGGAAACGCCAAAUCCUGCUGCCGCGUCGAAUGGCCGCCGAUGUGCAACUUUUUGGCCCGCCAACGUAGGAGGAAGUGGCGGAGGGCAAGCUCGGGCGUGUUGCGGCCCUCCGUCGUGAUCCCGCCGGCUAGUUUGGCCGGAAUUGUAGGCGGCCCGGCAGUGAGGGGUGGGGAAAAGCGCGGGGCGAGAUGAGGAGGGGCGGCGAUGGGUGGGGAAAAGCGCGGGCUGAAAUGUCCCCCUCCCCCCCCCUCCUAACCACUCCCGCUAUAUACAGGGCGCCGACGGGCCGUGGGGGGAGCCCACAUUUUCGCGGGUUGGACGGGAAUUACGCCGCACCCGGCAAAAACUUUUACGGGCCGGACGCGUUUGCAGGGUCUGGUCUGGCAGGAUUUUUCGCGCCGACCCGUAUUUUGUCGGUUAUUUUGCGGGUCGCGAUGUUAUACGGGGUUUGGUAGAGAUUCUCUUAUACAUGCAACUAAUUAGCGUAGGGGCUUGGCCGUCAACUCUGUGCUGCAAUGGAGUUUGAGUAGGUGGUAAGCUGAGCGCAUUAAUUAAUAUAGGUUAUGAAACACCAUCUCAGCCAGUCGGGCGAGUGUUCUGGAGGCGCGGGAGUAGGAGAGGCCACCGAGUUUAACGCAUGUUGCCGGCGGGCCGUGGUGCACGCACGCCGAUUGUCCAGUCGCACCGGCCGGCCGGCCUGGUCAUGGAUGAAGGAAGAUGUUCCUUUUUUCGUAAUUGGUUGAUUGAUUGGUUUGGCCACGAUGGAGUUGCGCAGCAGGUAGCGCCUAUAACGAGGAGACGUGGUCCGCCUGUAUUCCACAUUCCACAGCACUCCUUCCGUAAAUUAAUAUAAGACUGUCUUAUAACCGAGGGAGGGAGUAGUAUUUAGCUGUCGUUAGAAUUGGAUGAAGAAAAAAAGAUUGGUUCUUUUCGAGCGAAGUCUAAAAUAAAUCCUAAGAUUGUAGAAUUCGAUGAAAACGAACCCUGACGUUUAAAUCUCUGAAACAUGUAUGUACCCUGACUUCGUUGAUCCCGGUCGUUUUGAACCUUGAGAUGGGAUUCCUAUAUACCACCCGGAAAGGCCGGGAUCAAUUAGUCAGCCAGCACCUGCAGAUGGGUCCCAUGGAAUCAAACCCCUUCAGUCUUAGAAAUGUGGGUGAGGUGCCGGUGCAGUUCACGGACAGUAUCGGCGGCUCCCCGAUGCAGAUGCAGCUUCCAGUACGAGACAAGUCCUUCAUCAAUGGAAUGGAAUGGAAUGGCCCGUUGAUUGUGAAGCAACGUCGGCCGUGGUGCCCAUGCAUGCAACAGCAGAGGAUGAGCUCUCAAUUUUCAGUAGAGUAUUUGGACAUUUCCUCUGCUCUGCUGUGCUUAUUGCUCUGCUAAUUUUCAGUAGAGUAUUUUCAAAUGAGCCACGAUGCAAUGCAACCACCCAAAACACACAUAUUGCAUUCGAAGAAUGUUGGUGCUGCCAAGGGAAGAAAUGACAUUGCCCAUUGUUUUUUUUUAGAUACCUUAAUUUUUUCUUGGUGGUGGAGUGAUCGCGGGUCUGCUUUCGGAUCUGGAUGCAGUUGGGUUAGCGACCUCAGGGCGCAGGUCAACACGAUGGUGCUGAGCACGGGUGGGAAUGGCGAGAUGCGCUGCGGCCUGCGGCCCGGCAAUGAGCAGUCUGCUCUCUCUCUCUCUCUCUCUCUCUCUCUCUCUCUCUCUCGGAUCGGAUGCAGCAGCAACAUUUGGCCGACCACCUCGUCUGCGUUCGGCCUCAACGGCGAGCUCAAGGCUGGCCACCUUGCGAUGUCGGCAGAACACGCGCCAUCGACGAGCAGAAGCUGGGCGUCCAUGAGCGACCGACCCACAGGCGGUUGUGGAAAAGCGCAGACAGCACAUGCACAUGCGACGCGAGGUGGUCGUGGGUCCGGCUCCAGAUCGAGGCGUCCGCCCCUCCCGCCUCCGACGAGGCGACGACGAACCGGGAGCAGCUCUUCGCCACCGCCUAGGCCUCGCACGCAACUCCAGCCUGCGCGUGGGAGCUUCAGGAACUCGGGUUAUGUGUGUCGUCGGCGCGAGCCCGGAUGCCAUGGGCGGAGGCCCCCAGCAGCAAGUCCCCGUCUACAUCCACCCUGCCCUGCCGUCUUCAUUGACCGCACCACGGCGUCUCGCGAGUCAGACACUAAGCCAGUGGUGGCGCGGACAUGGCGUUGGCAACCUCCAACAACAGGAUGCCCGGCUGCCCGCCCUUCGCGCCCGAGUGCAGAGUCGCCAUGGAGAGGACCUUGUGCAGCAGCGGUUCGAGCUCGGCGCGGCAACGAUGGUCAUGGCUCUGCUGCGGCGGCGGCGGCGGCGGCGCGCUCUUGGCCACCAACGAGGGGUGGCCACCCUUGACCUCGUUGCGUCGCCGUCGACGGAGGUCGAGCGCACGUGAGGUGCUCGACGAAAUGUGACAUGUCAAGCUUUUUUAAAACAUAUUUUUCUUAUUUUUUUUCUUUUUGCGGGAAUAUUUUUCUUAUUUCAAAAAGCAUGUCAACUUGGAAUAAGUACACGGAUCUGGAGAAGCCUAUCUAGUUUCAAGCAAGUACUCGUCUUUUUUAGUUCGCAUAUAAGAUUUGACUAAAGUCAAUCCUCGUAAAUUUUGACCAAGUUUAUAGAAGAAGAAGAAGAAAAAAAACAUUCGGAAUGUCAACUCAACAACAAUGCAAGAGUCAUGAUUUUAGUUUUCACAUUUAGCAUUGUACAUGUUAACAUUUUUUUCACAUAAAUAUGGUCAAAUUUUACAAAGUUUGACUACAGAUCAUUCUUAUAUGCUGAGUAAAAAUAGACCGAAGGGAGUAUGCGGGUUUGAAAAAGAAUCACAAACUUCAAAGGAAAAGUAAACAAAUUUGAAAAAAAAAGUAUCAACUUAAGAAAAGCACGUGAAUCUCAAAGAAGUUCAUCUAUUUAGAAAGUAAGCGGAUUUGUAAAAAGUUACAUGAACUUGAGAGAAGUAGACGAAUUUUAUAAAAUUACACAAACUUCAAAAAGAGUUUGGAAUUGAAGAAGUAACUGAAUUUUAAAAGGACCCUGAUACUUUUUGAUGGCAAAUUUAGUUAUUCGGCAAUGACAACUUUAGUCGUGGAGGAACAACUUCCUCUUUGGAUGUCGAGUUUCGGUUUUCCGAGGUUUUUUCAUAUGACAAUUCUAAUUGUAAAAAAUGUCAAAUUUUGUGCCACACCUGUGGCAUUUAUCAUUAGGGAAAAAAGUGACGGACUUGACAAAUGCGUCAACUUGAAGAAAGCAGAACCUGCGGAAAACAAGGUGAGCACCAAAACCAAGACAAGGACGAACCUUGUGCAGUUUAUCGUGAAACGGGGUACAAAACGAAGGGCGAAUAUUAUACUACCAUUCAUUAUUCUUACCAAAAUACCCACUUGGUCAGUACGGCCUGAUUCAAAAAAAGAUUAUCACGAACACAGACGGUAGAUAGGAGAAGGAAACGAUAAAGCAGAACUAUCAUUAUACGCCAAAAAAAAUACAACUCGCGGGGCAAUAAAUCUAAAAUCUUCCUUUCUCUUCUCAUAUUCUUGUUUUCUCAGUCUGUUUUUUCAGAAGUUCACGGAACCUACCCAUAAAGAUCCUGAACAGAAUUUACGGGCACCAGCAGUGACGUCCAAACAAACUUAAGAGGAAAACACAGCUAAAUGUCUAACACUGUUCCAUAGACAAAAAAUACCAAAAGUUUCACUCUGCUCAUAAUCCGAUAUAACUCAGUAGAUGCUACACAUGGAAUAAAGGAGAAAUGUGCUGUAGCGAAGAUAGCAAAUGACAUAGCCAAUCAAGCUUACAAAACACGACACACAGUAACAGUGGGCAAGAGUUGGAGCAUCUCAAUUGAACUACACCAAGAACCAGAGGAAGAAGAGCCUCAAAUCUUCUUGCCAGCAUCACCAGCAUCCACCUUUUUGCCACCAUUCUUGAAGUAAUUGUAUGACUCCAGGAAUUUUCCCCUCAUUUCAUCGCUAGCCAUCCACUGGGCUCCAACCACAAUCAAGGCAUAGUCGACCGGACGAAGAGGCACAUCGCACAUCAGCAGACUAUAGGCGGACAGACAAUAAAAGUAGUACCUGCUGGCAUACGGCACCAGUGUCAGUAGGCUCCUCUUUGCCCAGAUAACUUUCUUGUGGAACAUCCUUCUCCCAGCCUCGCUCAAGGCGGCUUCGACAAAAUUCACUUGUUUACUGGCCUUGUGGAGAUCCUCCAGGAGCAGACUCUGGGAAAUAGCCCUCGCAUCCAGUUUCUCAAAGCAUAUCUGUUGGUUCCACUUUACCCCUUGCAAAGCAGAGUCCAAAUUCCUGCCCAUCUGCUCGAUUGCCGCGACACAUGGAUCCUUGCCGUCCCUCACCACAGUCCUCAUUUUAUUGUCAAACAGCAUCUCAAUCUCCUGAAGAUCAGGUUGCAAUCAUCAGCAAAGAACACAUUCAAUCAUCCAAAUAAGGAUAUAAUCUACAGACUGGGUUUGCCAUCGUACAAGCAAUCAUCCCAAUAAGGAUAUAAUCUAAUAUUUAUCUAAUUCUCUACAGACAGCAUCAAUAGCACAAUAAGCAAACAAGUCAUAUAUCAUGGCAACAGAACACUUGAAAUGGCAACAGAAAAUAGACAGUAGAUGAAAUUUCCAAACAGAAUUAACAAAAUAUGAGCCAGCAUACAAGCUAUCAAACAAAAUUUAAUGAUUACACAAGGAAUGAAGUCACGGGAAAUAUUAUGUUAUACAAAUAAUUAAUAUGUUCCACUCAAAUUAGCACAAAAAACAGGUGAGUGGCAUAUUACAUGAGCAAAGAACAGGUGAUUAGCAAAUUACAUGAGCAAAGAACAGGUGAUUAGCAAAUUACAGACACAGCAAAAGACACAUCAGAACAGCUAAGGUGAUCAACAAACUAUAUAAUGAAAAUCACUAUGCAAAUCAGGUCAACUUACAGCUUCAGUAAGUCCAGAAAGCCCAUCCACGACAAAGGAAACAACGUGUGGGUCCCCGGGGCACUCUUUCGGCAAGUCAAGCUGUGAGGGGGAAAAUUGAAUCAGCAUUGAGCAAAAACAAUUAACAGUUGACCUACUGAAUCAAUAUCCAACAAUUUCAACAAGAAAACCGAUCCCAAACCACAUUAGCUUAUAAUCCAAACAAUAUGACUACAAACUGUCGGAAUACAACUUGAUGAGCAUCAUGAACAAUUCAUUGGAAGCUGUCAACAUCCAACAUUUUAGACUGACUGGAAGAUAUCUCAAGAUCAAAUGAUUAACAAAAUGAUGAGCAGAGUAACUUGAGAUAAUAUUCUGAAAGAGAAAUGAAAUGAAUCAAUUAAUAGGCUUGCUACAAUGUCAUGUUACAAGCAAACAUCUGACAGAUUUACACCACAGAACGAGCCCAAGUUGAACGGGAAGAUCUCACCUUAGAGUCAGCAUCAGGAUUGACAUCGGUGGACUCAGGGUUAACUUCGGAUGCAGGUGGGGCAAGGUGCACCUUGUGCAGGACAAGGAUUUGGUCCCUGGCAGCCUUAGACAGGCUGCAGAACAGAUACAUGAUUUUCUACGGGAUCCAUCAGAGCACAAAGGAAUGAAACGAAAGAGGGUGGUUACCUCUCCGCAUAGACACGCGCGAGAUCUGGGUCUUCAUGCACCACCACCAUGACCAGUGUGGGUGCCGGCUUGGUGUGGGAGAACCUUUCCUGAGAGUAGUGGCCGACGCCCUUGGGACGCAGGAGACCAGAGGUGUUGGGCAGGUGAGCGCGGAGGCCGGCGAUGGGGAUGUCAGCGCCGCCCUUGGCAGCAUGGGAGCCGGUGAGAAGACUCCUCGCCGCGACUCCAGCGAGCCGAGAACCCACACGGCAGAGCGCCAUGGCACGCGUCGUCGCUCGCCUCCGCCUCCGCCGCCGCCUGAGGAAGAAAUGUUAGGGUUUAGAUCAGGGGAGACCGGCGCAUAUAAAUAGUAUAGUGAGUGGGCCGUUAUUGGGCCAUAAACCAUACAACGAGAUGCAAAUCUCUGCUAUUAAGCCCACCAUUGAUGUGAAAGUCCAAAAAAAAAUGAGAAGCGCCGCUCAUAGCCACUGGCUGACUGCUGGGGCCAUUCUGUCAGUGGCGUUGGAUAAAUUGCCAGAAAAAGGAGGAAUCAGGCUCUCGGGGGAAUCGAACCCACGACCUGUCCGAAUAGAGACAGGGAGGCGAGCCACUAGGGUAAGCUCUCGCGCGUGACACAGGAGGAAACAGAUCGAACUAGAUCUAUCAAAUUAGGGGAGCAGAAUCAGGAAGAUCAAAACCAAUGAAAACUUGCAUAGAUCUGAAAACAAGUGNNNNNNNNNNNNNNNNNNNNNNNNNNNNNNNNNNNNNNNNNNNNNNNNNNNNNNNNNNNNNNNNNNNNNNNNNNNNNNNNNNNNNNNNNNNNNNNNNNNNNNNNNNNNNNNNNNNNNNNNNNNNNNNNNNNNNNNNNNNNNNNNNNNNNNNNNNNNNNNNNNCUCCCUUGGGAAUCGAACCCACGACCUGUCCGAAUAGAGACAGGGAGGCGAGCCACUAGGGUAAGCUCUCGCGCGUGCCACAAGAGGAAACAGAUCGAACUAGAUCUAUCAAAUUAGGGGAGCAGAAUCAGGAAGAUCAAAACCAAUGAAAACUUGCAUAGAUCUGAAAAACAAGUGCUGCAUGGUAUCAAACUAUCAACAAAAAACGAGGUCGAACCAACGAAAACAACACGCGCAUCUUUGAUCUGAAGAAGGAGAUGGCAGGGUUUCAACUUCAAAAGAUGGAUCCAAAAAAUCUGGCAAAUCGUUCGCCGCUUGGGCUUGCGAAGGCAAAUAUCGAUCUGAGAUACUGAUACCCAACAUGCCAUGGCCACCAUGGCCAUGGCCAAAGUCUCAAAGGUCACGCGAACCUCACGAGACCUUGGCCAUGGCCGUGGGAACCAAAGCGAUGGUACGUCUUGUCGAAGCACAAGGGCUGGCGAGUUCUUGGAACUCGGAUGGCCAAGAGAGGAGGAGGGGGGUUGGUGCGAGAGGAGGAAGAAGGAACUAGAGAUGCGCCGCACCAUUGUGGCGCUAGGUCUAAGAUAAGGGAGGAGGGCCAAAGGAUGACAAAGAGGAGGCCGCACCAUUAUAUAUAUCCUACUAGUAAGCCUUCUAGGUCACGGCUCUUGGUUGCGUGAAUUAAUGGCGUGAUUCACGGGCCGGGUCGC